AUCGAAAGCUUGCUUUUGAUGGGCGUCGACCGGCGCACGGGUGAGUAACGCGUAUCCAACCUGCCCACCACUUGGGGAUAACCUUGCGAAAGUAAGACUAAUACCCGAUGAUAUCCCUAGAAGACAUCUGAAAGGGAUUAAAGAUUUAUCGGUGAUGGAUGGGGAUGCGUCUGAUUAGCUUGUUGGCGGGGUAACGGCCCACCAAGGCAACGAUCAGUAGGGGUUCUGAGAGGAAGGUCCCCCACAUUGGAACUGAGACACGGUCCAAACUCCUACGGGAGGCAGCAGUGAGGAAUAUUGGUCAAUGGACGGAAGUCUGAACCAGCCAAGUAGCGUGCAGGACGACGGCCCUAUGGGUUGUAAACUGCUUUUAUAAGGGAAUAAAGUGAGUCUCGUGAGACUUUUUGCAUGUACCUUAUGAAUAAGGACCGGCUAAUUCCGUG
This 443-nucleotide ribosomal RNA is filed under the name uncultured bacterium. RNAcentral describes it as "bacterial SSU rRNA". It matches the Rfam family "Bacterial small subunit ribosomal RNA", at positions 67 to 507 of the family's 1533-position model. The record is from RNAcentral.